This 539-nucleotide ribosomal RNA is filed under the name Echinodera bellieri. RNAcentral describes it as "partial 16S ribosomal RNA". It matches the Rfam family "Bacterial large subunit ribosomal RNA", at positions 1819 to 2625 of the family's 2925-position model. The record is from RNAcentral. Lineage: Eukaryota; Metazoa; Arthropoda; Insecta; Coleoptera; Curculionidae.
GGCUUUUUGAUAAUAAUUUAAGGUCUGACCUGCCCAAUGAUUUAAAUAUUAAAUGGCCGCGGUACUUUGACCGUGCAAAGGUAGCAUAAUCAUUAGUUUUUUAAUUGAAAGCUUGUAUGAAAGGUUUGAUGAAAAAAAAACUGUCUUUAUUUAAAUUUUAUAGAAAUUUAUUUUUAAGUUAAAAAGCUUAAAUAUAUAUUAAAGACGAGAAGACCCUAUAGAGUUUUAUAUUUUUAUAAAAUUAUUAUAUUUUAGAAUUUUUUAAUGAUUUUAUAAAUUUUAUUUAGUUGGGGUGAUUUAAAAAUUGAAUGAACUUUUUUAUUUAUAUUUACAUUGAUAUAUGAAAUUUUGAUCCUUAUUAAAGAUUAAUAGAUAAAAUUACCUUAGGGAUAACAGCGUAAUUUUUUUUAGAGUUCUUAUCAAAAAAAAAGAUUGCGACCUCGAUGUUGGAUUAAAAUUAAUUAUUGGUGUAGAAGCUAAUAAAUUAGGUCUGUUCGACCUUUAAAAUUUUACAUGAUCUGAAUUUAAACCGGUGUAAG